CUCAGGUGCAGGGGUCAUCAUCAUAAGCCUGGACACGCUCAUAGACAUUCAGUGUGCACUCAGGUUCGAAUUUGAGGCAACCAAUAAUGAAGCAGAGUAUGAGGCCGUCAUCAUAGCCAUGGAACUUGCCAUCAAUCUCGAGCUUGAAAAUAUCAAAAUUUACAGUGAUUCCCAAUUGGUGGUUGGACAAAUUGAAGGGACGUUCGAUAGGAAGGAUGAGAAAAUGAGCUUAUACUGCUUGAAAGUGCAUGAUC
RNAcentral lists this long non-coding RNA (254 nucleotides) under Olea europaea subsp. europaea. The record is from RNAcentral. Lineage: Eukaryota; Viridiplantae; Streptophyta; Magnoliopsida; Lamiales; Oleaceae.